Molecule: long non-coding RNA, 2120 nt
Filed under: Nicotiana tabacum (common tobacco)
Lineage: Eukaryota; Viridiplantae; Streptophyta; Magnoliopsida; Solanales; Solanaceae
Description: long non-coding RNA (NTAB_LNC018949)
Source: RNAcentral
AAUAGAAUUAAGCCUUCUUAAACAAUUUCUCCAUCACAAUCAUUUUCGAAUUUUAAUACGAAUUGAAAAGUGGUUUAAAUGUAUCAAAUGUGUAGCUUAAGUCAUGUUAAUGACAUUAGAUGUAUCAUUAUUGAUGAUCCAUGACCAUACAUAUUGAUUAAAUUAAAAGAAGUGCUAUUUAUUUGAUGAAUAGAUAUGUAGAUUGAGAAAAUUAUGUAUGUGCUUAACAGAAAGCCCACACACGUUUGUAUAAGCUCCCCAUUAUACAGUCCCUUCAUAUCUUGUUUAGAGCACAUCUUAUUUUCCAAACUUCCUGCUAUGAACUUCACAUAAUUGUUAAGUGAUGCCAUCUUAUGAUAUUGAAGUCCACCAAUCUAAUGUUAAGAUACACCCUUUGAGGUUGAGAAGAGCUUUCCUCAAAGAGACAACUUAAUCACUUUAUACAAAUAAGUGCAACCAAAACUAAUAAGCAACAAUCAUAAAAAUUAAAAAGAAGUUGAAAUCAGAAAGCACAAAAUGGGGAGAUUAGUGUUGCUCGCCAAUGCUGACUGAGAGAAGCAAAAUGUGAUCGUAAAGAGUGAUUUGUAAAACCUAGACAGAGGAAAUCAAUAUGAACAUUUGACAAUACGAAAUUUGAUUAAACAAAUAAAUUAGAAAUAGUUUUAGUGGUUGCAAUGUGGCUUAGCGUUACAGUCAAAUAUGAAGGUUAAAUAUAUUUAUAAACCAAUAAAUUAAUCUAGUUAUCCGAGUCAAAUUUUAAAGGUAAUAUAUGUAAUAGUUAAAGAUAAAUCAGAAAGCUAAAAUUCUUUAUAAUUGUAGCGAAAACAUAUCUUAACAUAAUUCCUAAUAUAUUUAUUUUGGUUCUCGUCAAAGAAGGAAGGAACCUAAGGAACCAAAUUUGCAUUUUAGGAUAAUUAUUUACUAUAAUUUAUUUGAAAACUUAAUUGGACAAUUUACUUUUGUACAACUAUAAAGUGGAGGUAAUAAUGUGGAAACAAAAAUAUACUGAGAGUCGAGGAAACACAAACUGAUCCAAAGAGAAAUUCAACAUUGACGAAGUUGCUCAUCUCUUCUCUACUGAAUAAACUGCACCAAGGCAAAUAAAAUGUGUAUAAAUUACCCGACCGAAUAAACAUUUAAAAAAAAAGAAUUUGCAAAGCAAUUCAAAAGUGAUGUGUUUUUCCUUGUGGGUUUAUUUAAGAAUCAUGUAGACAGGAAAAUUCCAAAGAGAGAGAGAUAAAUAGUACAUCCGAGAGCAUGGGGAGGUUCCCCAUUAGAUUUUAAUUUUUUAGCUUUAUAUUUAUAUAUAAAUUAUUGACAAAUUUUAAUUAAGUUUCAUGCACAUGCAAAGAUAAUGUGAACAUUACUUACUUCCCGUAUAUACAAAAAAUUCAUAUUCAAUAACUAAAACUCAAGGGAGGAAGAUCAUAUGUUUCCCAUAAGCAUCCAUGAUAAUUUUGUGAAAGCUCUACCUGCAUAAUCUCAAAUGACCGCAAUUGUCAUUACGAAAUAAAAUGCUAGAACAGAAGGAUAACUCGAGAAGACAAAUACACUAACCUUGUGGCAAUUAAACAAUUUUUGUUGUGUUAUAUUGGUGGUACUCAAUUAAAAAGGAGAACCAUACAUCUAAGCACAUUACCGGCCUCAUUCCCCAAUAGAGGAUGUAAAUGUCUGGUGUCCUUCUAGUUUAAAAUUAUACACAAUAUACAAAGCACGUAUAUUUUUAUUAUUCCAUUAAAAAGAGUAUUGUAACUUUUAAUUUAUAUAGAACCGCUAUAUAAGACUAAAGAAAAAAUGCAACCUUUGUAUGUUUUCCAUAAAAUAAUAGACAUAAUCUAGAAAUUGAAGGUUAUUACCACCUAAAUAAUCCUCCUACAAUUCAAAAAUAGAGUGAAAGGAAAUUCAGCCAGGGAAAAGGAAGAACUAAUAUUUGCUAAAUUACCUAACAAAAUAUUAAACAUGUUUGUGACUGAAACAAAAUCUUAAGCCAAAGCAAUGACUACCUGAAUGGAAGCAUCUUAAAGAGCUUCAACAUCACGUGUCAGGGACCUAGUCAGGCGAGAGGAUAAUCCAACCUGUCAAUAAAAUGAUAGAUUCAACAUAACACAUUCAGACUUUAC